Molecule: ribosomal RNA, 483 nt
Filed under: uncultured bacterium
Lineage: Bacteria
Description: partial 16S ribosomal RNA
Rfam family: Bacterial small subunit ribosomal RNA
Source: RNAcentral
GACGAACGCUGGCGGCGUGCCUAACACAUGCAAGUCGAACGAGGUCCAAGGGAGCUUGCUCCCUGACGACCUAGUGGCGAACGGGUGAGUAACACGUGAGAAACCUGCCUCGGAGUGGGGAAUAACUCGGGGAAACCCGAGCUAAUACCGCAUACCUUCACAUGAUCGCAUGGUCGAGUGAAGAAAGAACUUCGCUCUGAGAGGGUCUCGCGGCCUAUCAGCUAGUUGGUGGGGUAACGGCCUACCAAGGCAACGACGGGUAGCUGGUUUGAGAGAACGAUCAGCCACACUGGGACUGAGACACGGCCCAGACUCCUACGGGAGGCAGCAGUGGGGAAUCUUGCGCAAUGGGCGAAAGCCUGACGCAGCAACGCCGCGUGCGGGAUGACGGCCUUCGUGGUUGUAAACCGCUUUCAGCAGGGACGAAAUUGACGGUACCUGCAGAAGAAGCCCCGGCUAACUACGUGCCAGCAGCCGCCGUAA